UAGUGGCUCUCCACUCUACCCAUGCCUAGCAUGAUCUUAUAUUCAGUCGUGAUGAAGGGUCUCGGCCUGUAAUGUCGACUCUCCAUAAUUCUUCUCCGUAAAUGCUUCCUAGAGAUGCUGCCUGGCCUACUGCGUUCACCAGUAACUUUGAUGUGUGUUGCCUGAGAUUCAGAAACAGUUCUUCAAAGUUUAAAAGUUCAAACUUUACCUGAUCCUGAGCACUGGCCCCUCCGUGCUGGACAGUGAUGCAACCACCAAAGGAGCGAAGGAAGAUGAGAGGCAACUUGUACAAGAGAUUAAGAGGCAUAGAUCAAAUAUUUGCUGUAAACCGGAUGACCAUCUCCACAAAUCAAAUCUUUCUUUUGCAUUACCACUGAACUCUAAUUACUACUUUAGUUGACAUCUGGUCAACAUGGUACCCUGCUGCAAUGUUCAUGGAGGAUGUGGCUCAGAUUUAGCUGUAUUUUUUUGGUUCAUAGGGAUGGUUUUGGUGGCAGUACAAGGAGUCGGGGACAGGGAUAAGGAGUUGGGAACAGGGAUAAGGAGUUAGAGGUCAGAGAGGAAAGGAGCCAGAGCUCAAGUCAGAGUGCUUCACCGUCCAAGGCCAAUGAUCCCCGUGGUCAUUAACUGAGGUCAGUGGGUCCCAUGGACGAGGGCUGGUGCCGCCCACCCCCCGGGUUGGCAAGUUUCCCUAGGUCGGUGAGACUCGGAAUCAGAGAUCAUCUGAGUGGAAGGCACAAAGCCCAGUGAACCCCCAGGUCAGUGAGUUCAGGAGUCAGAGAUCUGUGUGUGUCUAGAGUUCAGAGUUCCAUGAUUGGCAGGUCCUGUGGAAAAGACUGAAGCUCAAGGACAGAAGUUGGCAAGGUUGGAAGUUGGGGUACAAUGGUUGAAGUGGAAGUCAGAAGCUCGAUGUCCAAGAGGCCUGACCAGAUACUGGAGGUUGGAGACCUGGCAACGGUCUGUCUUAGAGUUGAAGGGGAGAGUGAGAGAGCGUGUGAAUGUGUGUGU
Mobula hypostoma (lesser devil ray) is the source of this 1008-nucleotide long non-coding RNA. RefSeq lists it as uncharacterized. NCBI's taxonomy places the organism in Eukaryota, Metazoa, Chordata, Chondrichthyes, Myliobatiformes, Myliobatidae. The transcript is spliced from 3 exons. The record is from RefSeq and is a predicted model, not a curated record.